UGAAAAAUUAGGGGAUGAGCUGUGGAUCGGAGUGAAAGGCUAAUCAAGCCCGGAGAUAGCUGGUUCUCCUCGAAAGCUAUUUAGGUAGCGCCUCAUGUCUCACCACUGGGGGUAGAGCACUGUUUCGGCUAGGGGGUCAUACCGACCUACCAACCCGAUGCAAACUCCGAAUACCAGUGAGUGCAAUCAUGGGAGACACACGGCGGGUGCUAACGUUCGUCGUGGAGAGGGAAACAACCCAGACCGCCAGCUAAGGUCCCAAAUAUCAGUUAAGUGGGAAACGAUGUGGGAAGGCUCAGACAGCUAGGAAGUUGGCUUAGAAGCAGCCAUCUUUUAAAGAAAGCGUAAUAGCUCACUAGUCGAGUCGGCCUGCGCGGAAGAUUUAACGGGGCUAAACUGAUAACCGAAGCUGCGGACGCAUACUUGUAUGCGUGGUAGAGGAGCGUUCUGUAAGCCGUUGAAGGUGCAUUGUAAAGUGUGCUGGAGGUAUCAGAAGUGCGAAUGCUGACGUGAGUAACGAUAAAGCGGGUGAAAAACCCGCUCGCCGGAAGAUCAAGGUUUCCUGUCCAACGCUAAUCGGGACAGGGUUAGUCGGUACCUAAGGCGAGGCCGAAAGGCGUAGUCGAUGGAAAACAGGUUAAUAUUCCUGUACCGCUAUAUACUGCGAUGGGGGGACGGAGAAGGCUAGGUGAUCAGGGCGAUGGUUGUCCCUGUACAAGCUUGUAGGGAGAUCUCUUAGGUAAAUCCGGGAGAUCAUUAUCCUGAGGAGUGAUGUCGAGCUCAAUUGCGAGCGAAGUCAUUGAUGCCAUGCUUCCAAGAAAAGCCUCUAAGCUUCAGGUAUAUAGAGACCGUACUCCAAACCGACACAGGUGAUCAGGUAGAGAAUACCAAGGCGCUUGAGAGAACUAUGGUGAAGGAACUAGGCAAAAUGGUGCCGUAACUUCGGGAGAAGGCACGCCGAUUUUGGUGAUGGGAUUUACUCCCUAAGCUGAGGUUGGCCGCAGAGACCAGGCCCCUGCGACUGUUUAUCUAAAACACAGCACUCUGCAAACUCGUAAGAGGAAGUAUAGGGUGUGACGCCUGCCCGGUGCCGGAAGGUUAAUUGAUGGGGUUAGCGUAAGCGAAGCUCUUGAUCGAAGCCCCGGUAAACGGCGGCCGUAACUAUAACGGUCCUAAGGUAGCGAAAUUCCUUGUCGGGU
RNAcentral lists this ribosomal RNA (1199 nucleotides) under seawater metagenome. RNAcentral's name for it is "bacterial LSU rRNA". It matches the Rfam family "Bacterial large subunit ribosomal RNA", at positions 790 to 1977 of the family's 2925-position model. The record is from RNAcentral.